Molecule: ribosomal RNA, 152 nt
Filed under: uncultured Bacteroidota bacterium
Lineage: Bacteria; Pseudomonadati; Bacteroidota
Description: uncultured Bacteroidetes bacterium partial 16S rRNA
Rfam family: Bacterial small subunit ribosomal RNA
Source: RNAcentral
UGAGGAUUAUUGGUCAAUGGGCGAGAGCCUGAACCAGGGAAGUCGCCUGAAGGAAGAAGGAUCUAUGGUUCGUAAACUUCUUUUGCAGGGGAAUAAAGUGGAGGACGUCUCCUGUUUUGUAUGUUCCCUGAGAAUAAGGAUCGGGUAACUCC